UAGAUGGGCCUUUUGAUUGGUUUAUUAAUUCUGUUCUUAAUGAACCCAGAAGGUGGCAUACGAAGAGAGGAGGCGGGAAAUGCAGGACGUAAUGCUGAAUGCACACCCAACUUGCGAGUAAGCCCCUUUGCCAGAGCGAGAUUUCUGCGUUAACAUGCAUAAAGCCCGGGCUGCGGGGAGUUUGGUGGGCCAUACAGAGAGAGAGACGUGCGUAGCCAGCGCAAGGGCAACUCGUCGAUUUUAGCAUUUGCUCAGUCGAAAUAGAAAGCCGCCGGACGGGGAAUCGAGGCCUUGGAUUGAGCAUUUCAAAGAAGAAAGUGGCAAAGAAGGUUCUAGUCCUGAAGCAAUUGAGAGACCUCUGAGGAGUCCGUAGCAAAGAUGUCCCGCCUGCAACCUAGUUUCUCAGAUCCCUCUCUUCCCAACACUGUCUACUCGCCACUGGACAAUCUUGGCUUAUGGAACCUUCUUCCUAUAUUCGAUAAAACCAGAUGAUCCUGCGUUUUAAGGCUCGACUAGAAGAGUUGCGGGCGAUGCGCAGGAGAUAGAAGGGAACCGAAGGCUCUACUUAACCCUGAAAGAUCCCGCUUACUCUGAUGGACCCAGAAAGUUGCUCUGAUGUGAUGGACCCAGAAAGACCCCGCUUGCUCUGCAAUCUGCAGGAAGGGCUGGCUCUGCACUUCAACUCCCUCUGUCGGAAUUUUCUCGCCCUGCAGGGAAGUUUUCACUCCCGGCCGCCGCAACUUCCAAUGGGUAGUUUCUUUAUUUUCUUUUUCUCCCCCCGCCCACCUCAGCACGAACCUUUUCGUUGACCUCUACACGCCCCUCUAGUUUUCCGCUCGUUUUUUAAGUGCCCCAACGUUUUGAGGAAAUGCAUUGCUUUUAACCGAUAUGUUAAUAUGAGGGCAAAGUAGGAAUUAGUAUUAUUUUUAAAAUGCAUUUAUCACUUUUCAGCAAAAGUUCUCAGCUGUUUACAUAGCAAAAAAGAAGAAAGAAUGAGAAAAUAGUUCUUUGUCCCAAAAGGAUUCACAGUCUUAAAAAGAAAAUGCAGAGGAGAGCAGCAGCUACUAGAGAGAGGCUAUGCUGAGCUGAAUAAAGACAAUUGCUCUCCCCCGGCUAAAUAUGAGAGCCACCACUGUGUAUAUAGAGAUCACAAUAGAUGUGUACCAAUUAUCCUUUGAAGGGUUCAUAUUUCUUUUUUGUGGGGGGUUAUAUUUUGGAACAUCUCAACACAAUAUGUAGAACGGUUAUUAUGAUCAGAGUUUGCUCUUGUUUUCU
Molecule: long non-coding RNA, 1275 nt
Organism: Hemicordylus capensis (graceful crag lizard)
Lineage: Eukaryota; Metazoa; Chordata; Lepidosauria; Squamata; Cordylidae
Exons: 3
Source: RefSeq, a predicted model, not a curated record